This 275-nucleotide unclassified non-coding RNA is filed under the name Hevea brasiliensis (rubber tree). Lineage: Eukaryota; Viridiplantae; Streptophyta; Magnoliopsida; Malpighiales; Euphorbiaceae. The record is from RNAcentral.
UCGGCAGUCAAGAUCAAGUUCUCAGGUUUUAGGUCACGAUGAAUUAUUCCAUGUGAGUGUAGGCAUUCCAUUGCACGAGCAAUAUCCAGGGCAAAACCAAUUGCCACAUGCAUGUCCAAGCAUCUCGGUCGCAUGUUCAACAGGUAUUUACGCAAAGUCCCACCCAAAAGGAGCUCGGUUACUAUCACCAUGAUAGGUUCCUUGCAGGCACCAAUAAACUUCACUAGAUUUUUGUGUUGAACUCUUGAUAACAUUGCAACCUCUCUCGAAAACCG